GGGCACCUACGGGGGCCUAUAACAUCAGGGUCCGCAAGGGCCCGCCAAGCAAACGGAAGAAGCUA
Molecule: non-coding RNA, 65 nt
Filed under: unclassified sequences
Description: L2-Alphaproteobacteria ribosomal protein leader
Rfam family: L2-Alphaproteobacteria ribosomal protein leader
Source: RNAcentral